RNAcentral lists this ribosomal RNA (253 nucleotides) under uncultured bacterium. RNAcentral's name for it is "partial 16S ribosomal RNA". It matches the Rfam family "Bacterial small subunit ribosomal RNA", at positions 524 to 776 of the family's 1533-position model. The record is from RNAcentral.
UACGUAGGGCGCAAGCGUUGUCCGGAAUUACUGGGCGUAAAGCGUGCGCAGGCGGUUUGCUAAGACAGGUGUGAAAUCCCCGGGCUUAACCUGGGAACUGCGCUUGUAACUGGCAAGCUAGAGUGUGGCAGAGGGGGGUGGAAUUCCAGGUGUAGCAGUGAAAUGCGUAGAGAUCUGGAGGAACACCGAUGGCGAAGGCAGCCCCCUGGGCUAACACUGACGCUCAUGCACGAAAGCGUGGGGAUCAAACAGG